This is a long non-coding RNA of Peromyscus leucopus (white-footed mouse), 766 nucleotides long. RefSeq lists it as uncharacterized. Lineage: Eukaryota; Metazoa; Chordata; Mammalia; Rodentia; Cricetidae. The record is from RefSeq and is a predicted model, not a curated record. The transcript is spliced from 5 exons.
ACCUCAGCACCUUCCUUUCUGUGUUUGCUACCUAGAUACUAGAAACUGUGCAGCUUUGGUGUAUCACACACUGCCCAUCAUCAUGGUACUAUAGGCCUCAAAGCAACAGAGACAAGAUAAAUGAGAAUGAUUAAGAAAUUCACUUUAGAUCCAGUAAUAUUAGUGGACCUGAUGAAGACCCACCAGAGAAUGAAAAUCAAGAGGAGGAAAAGAGGAGGCAACAGAAAAUACAAUCAACAGAUUCUUGAUAUUCAUCCAAGUAAGAAUAGUGGCAUAUUAGCACUCCUUGUGGAGAAGACUGAGGAGAUGAGACACACAGUAUCACCUGGCACCUCUUCUGCCGUCUAACAGAGGGCUGUCUGCAAAAGAAAGCUGUGUAAGAAGACAAAUAAUGCAUGCUUGAGAGACUUGCUAGCUAAGCCAGAAGCCUGUCUUGGGAAGUAGCUGUCCUUCUUAUGAAGCCAUGAGUGCAAGUGAAAUGAUCUAUAUUUUGCUGUCACGGAUUUUGAAAAGAAUGUGUUGACUUUCAAGUUAGAGCAAUAAUGCACAACUUAGAGCAAGUACAUGUAAAGGCUGAGGCACAAGGAAGCCAGAGAUAUUUGAGAUCACAACCACUGGAUUAUAACCACAAUCACUCCACAAUGACACCUGAAGAUCACAAUGAUAAAGGAGUUUCUCUUCAGCGUGGGACAGUCUGUUUCUCCAGGACCAGGGGUCCCCCUUUAUAGGAAAUGUGGAUUUUAAAUAUAUUUAAAAAUUUUAAUUA